This 602-nucleotide ribosomal RNA is filed under the name uncultured bacterium. RNAcentral's name for it is "bacterial SSU rRNA". It matches the Rfam family "Bacterial small subunit ribosomal RNA", at positions 336 to 929 of the family's 1533-position model. The record is from RNAcentral.
CUCCUACGGGAGGCAGCAGUGGGGAAUAUUGGACAAUGGGGGCAACCCUGAUCCAGCCAUGCCGCGUGUGUGAAGAAGGCCUUUUGGUUGUAAAGCACUUUAAGCAGGGAGGAGAGGCUAAUGGUUAAUACCCAUUAGAUUAGACGUUACCUGCAGAAUAAGCACCGGCUAACUCUGUGCCAGCAGCCGCGGUAAUACAGAGGGUGCGAGCGUUAAUCGGAAUUACUGGGCGUAAAGCGAGUGUAGGUGGCUCAUUAAGUCACAUGUGAAAUCCCCGGGCUUAACCUGGGAACUGCAUGUGAUACUGGUGGUGCUAGAAUAUGUGAGAGGGAAGUAGAAUUCCAGGUGUAGCGGUGAAAUGCGUAGAGAUCUGGAGGAAUACCGAUGGCGAAGGCAGCUUCCUGGCAUAAUAUUGACACUGAGAUUCGAAAGCGUGGGUAGCAAACAGGAUUAGAUACCCUGGUAGUCCACGCCGUAAACGAUGUCUACUAGCCGUUGGGGUCCUUGAGACUUUAGUGGCGCAGUUAACGCGAUAAGUAGACCGCCUGGGGAGUACGGCCGCAAGGUUAAAACUCAAAUGAAUUGACGGGGGCCCGCACAAG